AUUGAACGCUGGCGGCAUGCCUUACACAUGCAAGUCGAACGGCAGCACGGGAGCAAUCCUGGUGGCGAGUGGCGAACGGGUGAGUAAUAUAUCGGAACGUGCCCAGUCGUGGGGGAUAACGUAGCGAAAGCUACGCUAAUACCGCAUACGAUCUACGGAUGAAAGCGGGGGAUCGCAAGACCUCGCGCGAUUGGAGCGGCCGAUAUCAGAUUAGCUAGUUGGUGGGGUAAAAGCUCACCAAGGCGACGAUCUGUAGCUGGUCUGAGAGGACGACCAGCCACACUGGAACUGAGACACGGCCCAGACUCCUACGGGAGGCAGCAGUGGGGAAUUUUGGACAAUGGGCGCAAGCCUGAUCCAGCCAUGCCGCGUGAGUGAAGAAGGCC
RNAcentral lists this ribosomal RNA (386 nucleotides) under uncultured bacterium. RNAcentral's name for it is "bacterial SSU rRNA". It matches the Rfam family "Bacterial small subunit ribosomal RNA", at positions 29 to 416 of the family's 1533-position model. The record is from RNAcentral.